CUUUUUGUCUGAUGUUCUCCCCUCUGCUUUCUUGCUAUCUUAUUUUCUCCUUACAUCCCACAUAUUAGAGAAAACAGGCAACACUUCUGGGCUGCUAUUUUGACUUCUGAACUGAAAAAACAGAGAAUAGGAUAGGGCCACCGCCGCCCACUCCACUCCACUCUUUCCACUCCCUUCCUUCUCCAUUCCUUCCCCUUCCUUCCUCCCUUUCCCUCCCCCUUCUCAGACCUAACAGAUGGUGCCUGUGACUCGACAGCAGGUGAGAGACUCCUGUGAUUUUCCCAGUUUUUUGGUCCCCUGCUGUUCAAGAUUCUUCACUUCUACACUCACAAAUCCUAAGUUCGACUGCUGCUUCCCAAUCAACAUCCACCAGGUGCUAUCUCAGCGUCUCAAGCUGCCUUAAACACUGCGCAUUUCCAAAGUCUCGCAGCCCCGCCCAAACUUUUUUUAUAAUUCAGUUCCACUCAAGAGAGGCUAUUUUUUUUCUUACAAUUUUUCUACCAUUUAUUCACUAUUACUGGUCACCUGAUAAUUUUACCAACCUGCCUGCCUUAUAAUCUUAAAUGCCAAUAUUAAGCUCCUACAUACUUACUUAAUUCUACAGAUAACUUUUACUAUAGUCCAGAUCUCAAACAACAAGGCAAAACUUGACCUUCAAGCUCCACAGAGAUCUUGCUAUGGUUGUUCAUAUUUUAAAUAACACUUACAAUUCUGAGUGUACAAAUCUACACAAGGUGAAGCUACCUGCCCCCCCACCAUGGGCCUCACUCAAAUUCAUCAGAAGACAUCAGACAAAAUCCCCCAUCCUGGCAUUCUUUGAGACCUUACUCCAGGGCUGUUUAGGCUAUCCUGGCCACCAGAGAGUGGCCUGGCCAUCCUACCUGGUAGCCCUCACAGGUCACUGCCAAAAGACCUUAUUCCACGGCUGUUGGGUUAUCCUGGCCACCAGAGAGUGGCCUGGCCACCCUCACAGGUCACAGGGGCCAACCGCCUUGGUGGAUAUCUGUCUCAGAAUCCAAAUCACAUUAAAACUCUCAAGGUGAGACAUUCUCUAUAUUCGUGGACAUAAGAGGCCACAUAUACAGAGUUCUUACUGAGUUUUUAGGCUAAUAAAUCCUCAAUGUCUCAUGGAGUAUUAAAGGUCAACCUAUGCCAGUUACAAACAGGGCCUAUCUUUAUACAGGUCCCAGUCCUAAAUCUUAAAAUGCUUUUAUUCCCUUUUAAACUGCUAUCCUGGUUUCACAUCACUCAGGCCCUAGAUCUAACCAUUCUUUUGAUACUCAUCUCUGCCUUACGACUCACAGGUUGUCAUGUUUUGUUGUCCAGUUUGAUUCUUAAUUUCUUACAUUCUAUUAAUGAUCAUUUCUAUAACAGGACUCUCUAACAGGAUUGCCUACAGACUCCAAUGUCAUAUAUACCAGAGACAAACCUUACCUACCUACCUUUUAACUUUUAUGCUUUCAUAUGGGGGAGUAAGCACCUCUCAUAACUUCACUCCUCCUAAUCCCAUGUUUAAUUUUUCAAAAUUCUGCCUUGCCACCUCAACAUCAUCCUGAUAGAAUAACAGGUCUAAAUCAAAGACACCUUUCCCUCUACCUCACUUGGGUUCAUAAAUAUGACAGUGCCAUGUCUCCUCAUAACAUCUUGUUUCUUUGUUUUUUCCAGUCUAACAUACGUGCAUUCACCAAUGAAGUUGUCUUGGCUAAAACACCUAACAUUGGCGUCUACCUGGGCAUCAACCUUCAUCCCGUCGACUCCCCUAGACCCCAAUACAGCGCCCUCAGCCAGCAGGAAGUAGUUACAGAGAAAAAUCUUCGCCCCUUUUCCUAAUAAUCAUAAGACGGGAUAUGAAAGAGUUGCUGGCCCAGGCCGGACACUUUAACCAGGAGAAGCCUCAGCCAAAUUAAGGAGCUCCUGCCUCCCCUGCCCCUUAGAGAUUUACCUGUAACCCUAUCCCCCCAUCCCUAAGAACCUGCCUCUGGCACCAAAUGUGUGCCAAUGAAAUACCUGUGCAUCCCUAAUGCCCCUUGGGGUCCACCCCAGACAGAGGCUACUUAUGGGCCUCACUCCACGUGUUAGAGUGUGUGUGUGUGAGUGUGUGUUCCAGAGAGAGACCUCCGGCCCGGGGUGGAGAUGCUGCCCCCCGGGGGCCGGGGGGGUGUCUCUCCCCACAUUCCCCAAAUAAA
Molecule: long non-coding RNA, 2186 nt
Organism: Cavia porcellus (domestic guinea pig)
Lineage: Eukaryota; Metazoa; Chordata; Mammalia; Rodentia; Caviidae
Exons: 3
Source: RefSeq, a predicted model, not a curated record